RNAcentral lists this long non-coding RNA (1079 nucleotides) under Lathyrus oleraceus (garden pea). Its description in RNAcentral is "Pisum sativum (pea) long non-coding RNA (PSAT_LNC034653)". The record is from RNAcentral. Lineage: Eukaryota; Viridiplantae; Streptophyta; Magnoliopsida; Fabales; Fabaceae.
GAAAACAAUAUGAAACAAUAUCAAAGGAACACACAUUUGCAUAUCACUGGUCAGUUGUUCUAAUAUUUUCUUUCUUUUCGUUUCCACAUCAUUGAGGAAAAAAGAAAUCAAUAUUUAUUUAUAAGUCUAAAACGAUUAGAAAGCAUUAUGAGAACUAUUAGAAACCUAGGGAAGAAAAAUGAGAAAAUGAGAGAAAUUAUUGAGAAAGAUGAAAAUGAAAGAGCAUUUAAGUGAAUAUAUGUGUAUUUUACAGAAGUGUUAUGUCAUAAAGACAUGUAAUACACAGACACCACUACAUUGUUUACAUUAUUCUGAACCCUGUGAUGCAAUAUGACCAGGAUCGCUGGAAAUGUGUGGUGUGGUUGAACUAUUGGGCUUGAAUUGGUUCGUAGGAUCACAAGCUUUGGGUCAUUCAUUAUGCAAUGGUCCUUCCAGAAACAGGUCGGGUAUUUUGAAAAAACCCGUGUUAGGUAAACACUUUGCUAAAACGCAGACUCUAAAGUGAAAAGAGAUUAAAAAACCCUAAAUUUGUCUCACUCUCGUUUGCGCGCUUGGUUUGCCACCUUUCUCUCCCUUCUCCUUUUUUUCACAUGGCCCUUACUUCUUUUGUUUAUGGCUUUAUCGUGUACUACGUCUACUUUUUUGUUUUAUUCUGCCUUUCCCUGUCUGAACUAUGUAGUGUAACCUGCAAUGGCUUCGAGUGGGUCUUAGGCCUUAUGAAUUAUGUCUUGAGUUACUUAUUAAGUACUUCUGGUAAGGUAUGAACAUAGUUUUGAGUUAUUUAAGAACUCAUGGGUUGAUGGUUAUGAAUUUUUAAUUAACUCAGUUUAAUGUCGUGAUUUAGAGUUUAUUUUAGUCAUUUAUGAUAGUUUUUAUGCUUGUGUAUUUAAGUACCAUUUUCUCUUUCGCUAGGAUCUUACUAGACAUGUUAAGAUCCUCACAUAUUCGCCUACUUACUAUUUAUCUCUAAUUGUUACAGCUACUAAAUUCUCUAUUAUUAUUAUCCCCCUUUGCUUAAGGAGAUAAUUAAGUUGUAAUCUCUCUAUUUAAACUAGUUCGUAUUUAGGAAUAAAUCAUCA